This 90-nucleotide non-coding RNA is filed under the name Rhodnius prolixus. The record is from RNAcentral. Lineage: Eukaryota; Metazoa; Arthropoda; Insecta; Hemiptera; Reduviidae.
AAUAAUGGUGGGCUGGAUGGGGGAGCCGCAAGGCUCGCCGGGUCUCCUGUUUAGCCGGUAGUUUCGAACCCUGUUCAGCUCACCGCCAAA